UUGAUCCUGGCUCAGAAUCAACGCUGGCGGCGUGCCUAACACAUGCAAGUCGAACGCGAAAAGGGCUUCGGCUCUUAGUAGAGUGGCGAACGGGUGAGUUACACGUGGGUGACCUACCUUCGAAUGGGGGAUAACGUCCCGAAAGGGACUCUAAUACCGCAUAACAUCCUGCUUUUGAACAGGUGGAGAUCAAAGCCGGUGAUCGCAAGACCUGGCGUUUGAAGAGGGGCCCGCGUCUGAUUAGCUAGUUGGUGAGGUAACGGCCCACCAAGGCGACGAUCAGUAUCCGGCCUGAGGGGUCGGACGGACACACUGGGACUGAGACACGGCCCGGACUCCUACGGGAGGCUGCAGUGGGGAAUUGUUCGCAAUGGGCGCAAGCCUGACGACGCAACGCCGUGUGGAGGAUGAAGGUCUUCGGAUUGUAAACUCCUGUUGCUCGGGACGAAUAGCUUCGACCUAACACGUCGAAGUCUGACGGUACCGGGUGAGGAAGCCCUGGCUAACUCUGUGCCAGCAGCCGCGGUAAUAAGGU
RNAcentral lists this ribosomal RNA (535 nucleotides) under uncultured Acidobacteriota bacterium. Its description in RNAcentral is "bacterial SSU rRNA". It matches the Rfam family "Bacterial small subunit ribosomal RNA", at positions 13 to 529 of the family's 1533-position model. The record is from RNAcentral. Lineage: Bacteria; Pseudomonadati; Acidobacteriota.